UUCCGGUUGAUCCUGCCGGACCCGACUGCUAUCGGAUUGAGAUUUAGCCAUGCGAGUCGAACGCCUUCCUGUUGCGGGAGGCGUGGCGUACGGCUCAGUAACACGUAGUCAACCUGCCCUAGAGACAUGAAUAACCCCGGGAAACUGGGAUUAAUACAUGAUAGAUCAUCUCAUCUGGAAGGAGAGAUGGUUUAAAGGGGUGCGCGAGCUUCUUUUGUGCAUCCGCUCUAGGAUGGGACUGCGGCCGAUCAGGCUGUUGGUGGGGUAAUGGCCCACCAAACCUGUAACCGGUACGGGCCUUGAGAGAGGGGGCCCGGAGAUGGACACUGAGAGAAGGGUCCAGGUCCUACGGGGCGCAGCAGGCGCGAAACCUUCGCAAUGCGCGAAAGCGUGACGAGGUUAAUCCGAGUGGUUCCCGCUGAGGGAAUCUUUUGUUGGCUCUAAAAUGGCCAGUGAAUAAGGGGAGGGCAAGUCUGGUGUCAGCCCGCCGCGGUAAUACCAGCUCCUCGAGUGGUCGGGGCGAUUAUUGGGCCUAAAGCAUCCGUAGCCUGUUCUGUAGGUCUCCUGCUAAAUCCAACGGCUUAACCGUUGGCCUGCAGAAGAUACCGCAGGACUAGGAGGCGGGAGAGGUGGACGGUACUCCACGUGUAGGGGUAAAAUCCUUUGAUCCGUGGAAGACCACCAGUGGCGAAGGCGGUCCACCAGAACGCGCUCGACGGUGAGGGAUGAAAGCUGGGGGAGCGAACCGGAUUAGAUACCCGGGUAGUCCCAGCCGUAAACGAUGCGAGCUAGAUGAUCCAAUCGCAAAUCGCGAUUGGAGUGUCGCAGGGAAGCCGUUAAGCUCGCCGCCUGGGGAGUACGGUCGCAAGACUGAAACUUAAAGGAAUUGGCGGG
Molecule: ribosomal RNA, 894 nt
Filed under: uncultured crenarchaeote
Lineage: Archaea; Thermoproteati; Thermoproteota
Description: bacterial SSU rRNA
Rfam family: Archaeal small subunit ribosomal RNA
Source: RNAcentral